This 45-nucleotide ribosomal RNA is filed under the name Alternaria alternata. Its description in RNAcentral is "partial 28S ribosomal RNA". Lineage: Eukaryota; Fungi; Ascomycota; Dothideomycetes; Pleosporales; Pleosporaceae. RNAcentral also lists the same sequence under 16 other names. The record is from RNAcentral.
UUUGACCUCGGAUCAGGUAGGGAUACCCGCUGAACUUAAGCAUAU